CCUACGGGUGGCAGCAGUGAGGAAUAUUGGUCAAUGUGCGAGAGCCUGAACCAGCCAAGUCGCGUGAAGGAUGAAGGUUCUAUGGAUUGUAAACUUCUUUUAUCUGGGAACAAAGUGCGGAACGCGUUGCUUUUUGUGUGUACCAUAUGAAUAAGCAUCGGCUAACUCCGUGCCAGCAGCCGCGGUAAUACGGAGGAUGCGAGCGUUAUCCGGAUUUAUUGGGUUUAAAGGGUGCGUAGGUGGUUAAUUAAGUCAGCGGGUAAAGUUGGUGGCUCAACCAUAAAAUGGCCGUUGAAACUGGUUGACUUGAGUAUAUUUGAGGUAGGCGGAAUGCGUGGUGUAGCGGUGAAAUGCAUAGAUAUCACGCAGAACUCCGAUUGCGAAGGCAGCUUACUAACCUAUAACUGACACUGAAGCACGAAAGCGUGGGGAUCAAACAGGAUUAGAUACCCCAGUAGUC
RNAcentral lists this ribosomal RNA (460 nucleotides) under uncultured bacterium. RNAcentral describes it as "partial 16S ribosomal RNA". It matches the Rfam family "Bacterial small subunit ribosomal RNA", at positions 338 to 795 of the family's 1533-position model. The record is from RNAcentral.